UACGUAGGGUGCGAGCGUUGUCCGGAAUUAUUGGGCGUAAAGAGCUUGUAGGCGGUUUGUCGCGUCUGCUGUGAAAAUCCGGGGCUCAACCCCGGACUUGCAGUGGGUACGGGCAGACUAGAGUGUGGUAGGGGAGACUGGAAUUCCUGGUGUAGCGGUGAAAUGCGCAGAUAUCAGGAGGAACACCGGUGGCGAAGGCGGUUCUCUGGGCCUGUACUGACGCUGAGGAACGAAAGCGUGGGGAGCGAACAGG
RNAcentral lists this ribosomal RNA (253 nucleotides) under uncultured bacterium. Its description in RNAcentral is "partial 16S ribosomal RNA". It matches the Rfam family "Bacterial small subunit ribosomal RNA", at positions 524 to 776 of the family's 1533-position model. The record is from RNAcentral.